This 253-nucleotide ribosomal RNA is filed under the name uncultured bacterium. RNAcentral describes it as "partial 16S ribosomal RNA". It matches the Rfam family "Bacterial small subunit ribosomal RNA", at positions 524 to 776 of the family's 1533-position model. The record is from RNAcentral.
UACGUAGGGGGCUAGCGUUUUCCGGAUUUAUUGGGCGUAAAGAGCGUGUAGGCGGCCAGGUAGGUCUGGUGUGAAAACUCGAGGCUUAACCUCGAGAUGUCAUCGGAAACCAUCUGGCUAGAGUCCGGAAGAGGAGAGUGGAAUUCCUGGUGUAGCGGUGAAAUGCGCAGAUAUCAGGAAGAACACCCGUGGCGAAGGCGGCUCUCUGGGACGGUACUGACGCUGAGACGCGAAAGCGUGGGGAGCGAACAGG